CAGGUUAGAGUACCUCAUAGAAUCCUUGCUACGAAUAAAAUAUGGAACAGCAGAAUGCCAAACGUGUAAUGAACACUUCAUGAAGCAGUUGAUAGGUC
This 98-nucleotide long non-coding RNA is filed under the name Papio anubis (olive baboon). RNAcentral describes it as "lncRNA (ENSPANG00000045663.1)". Lineage: Eukaryota; Metazoa; Chordata; Mammalia; Primates; Cercopithecidae. The record is from RNAcentral.